GGUGGAGAGGGGAUAUGAUGAUUCAUGCUUGGUUCGAUGUAACUCGGGCCUUUCCUCGCCGCUUGACAUCCACAAUUAAAGCUAUUUGUGGUACACGACAAACAAACACAGCACCGUCUAUAUUCAGUCUUAUCCAUACUAAUCAUUCUAGUUUUUUUUUUUUUUCACACCACAUUUCAGUUUAUAGCAAAGGAAAAGUAAUUUUGGGCUGAUGAUCUGAAAAACCUUCACCCGUCCAAGAUAGCUAGGCCAAGAUUCCUGUUAGAAAAUGAUGGCCAAUGAAGCAGAUCACAAUCCCUUAUAUAACCCAUGUGCAUUUUGUGCUAUUUCUUCCGAUGUGACUUGGAAAUGUAGGUGUGGCAGCUGGCAGCUGCCUCAGGGAAUGGGCAAAGCACACUGUUUAAUUGGGUUUGGCUGUAACGGGGGAAUCUUUUCUGAGGGAACUGAUAACUACAGAUGAUGCAUCAUAGUUUGGUAUCAUUUGAGACAUGAAAUCAAGUUCUUGGUUCUUUUUGAAGCUGUUGAGGACAUCCCUUCCCAGUUUUAAUUUCUUUGAUGUGAACUAUACAUGCAGUGUCUCUUUCGCAAGCUCCUUGCUUCAAUGCUCUUUAGGAUAGUAUUAUCCAAACGAGAUUAACUUGUUGUUUGUCAUGACUUGUCAAGAAUAUGCAACCUUAUGUCUGGCCCUGUCUACUGCAUUAAUAUUCUGAAAGGAACUGGUAAUCUGGUGUCUGGACCACAAAUUAGUGUUUAAUGGUGAUACAGUUAUGCCCAUUAAGUUAAAUUUCAGUGAAUAUCAUCGGAUUAUAGCAUCUCAAGAACCAAACAGGAAUUCCAGAAUUUGAAUGUAUGCGGAUGUGAUCUUGAGGAAAGGAAGGAUUUCGUGUUGUUCAUUUCCUGUGGCAUUACUCCCUGGCGCGAAGAAAGGUAUUGGGUGAAAGAUACCAAAAAUAAAGCAAAGAUCUUCGCUGAGAAGUGAUAACUCUCCUGAUGGACCUGAUAACAGAGAAUUUGCCAUAAAUGGAUCAAGUCCUGGUAAAGUAACCAAUCAAUUGAUGAUUCAUGCUUCAAGCAGUGUGUAACAGGAUGAUUAAACAUUUCGCAGCAAAUAGUCGACUUGGAACUUGGAAGCUACCUGCAACAAUUUCUGUGCCUAUUCAAUGGCAUAUCAAGAAAAAGCAAGAUUACCAAUAACCUUGACCGAUCCUGAUGGAGAGAAGUAGUGCUGCUGAUUCGGCAAUUAGGUGAUAAAAACUUCCUCUUUAUUUUUCAUUUUCUUUUCCCUGAUAGGAAAGGACAUUAAUUUUAGUUCUAAAAGGCUAGAGAAGUGGAGUUUCACAUCAUGCAGGCACUUCCUCCAUGGCUGUUGAGGAUUCUUUCACAGAAAUAUUAGUGGCUUACUGGCCUUUCCGUAUGGGUCCAGUGCAUUGAUCUUUUUGGCCUUUACACCGGUAACAAAAAAAAUAUUAAUAAUAAAAAUAAAAAUGAUUUAAAAUAAUAGAGAUAAUAGUCCAUUGUAGAGAGUUUCAAAUUAAAUAUCUAUCACAUCUUAUGUUAAGAAGACUAUCUUAUCGUAUUUUGAUACGAGUAAUUUUUCAAGGAAUUAUUAACUAUAUUUAUUUAAAAAAGUGAUUUGUACAAUAAUUUUAUAUUCUAUGUUAUAAAUUAUAGACAAAAAAAUAACUUCUGAUAUAUAUUGCAUCUCUAAUUAAACUUGGAGAAGGAUUUUUAGAAGGCCCAGAAGAUGUUUGUAUGGACAGAAAGGGUCUGCUGUACAAGAUUGCAUAAGAAUGGAUCCUGGGAGAAUUGGAAGUAGAUAGAGAGCGAUGCCUUACUUGGUAUCACAACCUCCAAGGAAGGUGGUCUUAUCUUGUCAUUUGUGAUGCUAAAAUGGGUUUGCUUGAAGUUACUGAAGAUGGAGUAACAGUUCUUGCAUCACACAUUAUUGGGUCUGAAAUAAGAUCCUCACAUAUGAGAUUUCUCCUAGAUAAAAAUUGAUAAAGUCCUUCGUGGAUAGCCUGCAGUAACUGAUAUGCUUAAACUGUUCAACGUAGUCCUUCUCACGGGCAAUUGCUCAAGUAUGAUCCCUUUUUGAAUGAGACCUCAAUUCUGCUUGAUGAUAUGUGCUUCCCAGCCCAAUGGUGUUGCUCUCUCAAGGGAAGAAGAUUUUCUGGUCUUUUGUGGAACUUGGAAAUUUAGGUGCCAAAAAUAUUGGCUCAUGGGCAAGAAGAAAGGCAAAACAGAAAUUUUUGGUAAUUGUAGGUGUCUCAUCAUUAGGAGUCGUUUGCUUAUGCAAUAUGCUUUUGUUGAAAACAUGUGUGUACAACUAUUUGGAUCAAUCUGGGCCACUUAUUAGGUUGAAUCUUGAUGCAUAGUUGCCUA
This is a long non-coding RNA of Hevea brasiliensis (rubber tree), 2382 nucleotides long. RefSeq lists it as uncharacterized. The transcript has 4 exons. Lineage: Eukaryota; Viridiplantae; Streptophyta; Magnoliopsida; Malpighiales; Euphorbiaceae. The record is from RefSeq and is a predicted model, not a curated record.